CCUACGGGUGGCUGCAGUGGGGAAUAUUGGACAAUGGGGGGAACCCUGAUCCAGCCAUGCCGCGUGUGUGAAGAAGGCCCUCGGGUUGUAAAGCACUUUCAGUGAGGAAGAACGCCUGGUGGUUAAUACCCAUCAGGAAAGACAUCACUCACAGAAGAAGCACCGGCUAACUCCGUGCCAGCAGCCGCGGUAAUACGGAGGGUGCGAGCGUUAAUCGGAAUUACUGGGCGUAAAGCGCGCGUAGGUGGCUUGAUAAGCCGGUUGUGAAAGCCCCGGGCUCAACCUGGGAACGGCAUCCGGAACUGUCAAGCUAGAGUGCAGGAGAGGAAGGUAGAAUUCCCGGUGUAGCGGUGAAAUGCGUAGAGAUCGGGAGGAAUACCAGUGGCGAAGGCGGCCUUCUGGACUGACACUGACACUGAGGUGCGAAAGCGUGGGUAGCAAACAGGAUUAGAUCCCUGGUAGUC
This 464-nucleotide ribosomal RNA is filed under the name Vreelandella stevensii. RNAcentral's name for it is "partial 16S ribosomal RNA". It matches the Rfam family "Bacterial small subunit ribosomal RNA", at positions 338 to 795 of the family's 1533-position model. Lineage: Bacteria; Pseudomonadati; Pseudomonadota; Gammaproteobacteria; Oceanospirillales; Halomonadaceae. The record is from RNAcentral.